AAUUUUAAAAAAUUUUAAAUAGUUUUUACCAAUUUAGAGCUUUUUUUAUAAAAUAAUUAUUUUAAUCUUUUUAAAAUCUAUUUUAACAUCUUAUUAUGCUGUGGUAAUUCUAGAGCUAAUACAUGCUGAAAACCUCGACUUCGGAAGGGGUGUAUUUAUUAGAUAAAAAACCAAUGCCCUUCGGGGCUCCUUGGUGAAUCAUAAUAACUUAACGAAUCGCAUGGCCUUGCGCCGGCGAUGGUUCAUUCAAAUUUCUGCCCUAUCAACUUUCGAUGGUAGGAUAGUGGCCUACCAUGGUGGCAACGGGUAACGGGGAAUUAGGGUUCGAUUCCGGAGAGGGAGCCUGAGAAACGGCUACCACAUCCAAGGAAGGCA
Molecule: non-coding RNA, 375 nt
Filed under: Aspergillus aculeatus ATCC 16872
Lineage: Eukaryota; Fungi; Ascomycota; Eurotiomycetes; Eurotiales; Aspergillaceae
Description: Eukaryotic small subunit ribosomal RNA
Rfam family: Eukaryotic small subunit ribosomal RNA
Source: Rfam by way of RNAcentral